RNAcentral lists this ribosomal RNA (89 nucleotides) under Crocodylus porosus (Australian saltwater crocodile). Lineage: Eukaryota; Metazoa; Chordata; Crocodylia; Crocodylidae. The record is from RNAcentral.
UAGAGCAGCCAUGCCAGACUGACUGUACAAGCUCAGAGCCUAGCCAGUACACGGAUGGGAGACCACCUGGAAACCCAGGUGCUGCCAAU